RNAcentral lists this ribosomal RNA (468 nucleotides) under uncultured bacterium. RNAcentral describes it as "partial 16S ribosomal RNA". It matches the Rfam family "Bacterial small subunit ribosomal RNA", at positions 28 to 507 of the family's 1533-position model. The record is from RNAcentral.
GACGAACGCUGGCGGCGUGCUUAACACAUGCAAGUCGAACGGAAAGGCCCUGCUUUUGUGGGGUGCUCGAGUGGCGAACGGGUGAGUAACACGUGAGUAACCUGCCCCUGACUUUGGGAUAACUUCAGGAAACUGGGGCUAAUACCGGAUAGGAGCUCCUGCUGCAUGGUGGGGGUUGGUAAGUUUCGGCGGUUGGGGAUGGACUCGCGGCUUAUCAGCUUGUUGGUGGGGUAGUGGCUUACCAAGGCUUUGACGGGUAGCCGGCCUGGGAGGGUGACCGGCCACAUUGGGACUGAGAUACGGCGCAGACUCCUACGGGAGGCAGCAGUGGGGAAUAUUGCACAAUGGGCGGAAGCCUGAUGCAGCAGCGCCGCGUGCGGGAUGACGGCCUUCGGGUUGUAAACCGCUUUCGCCUGUGACGAAGCGUGAGUGACGGUAAUGGGUAAAGAAGCACCGGCUAACUACGUG